RNAcentral lists this unclassified non-coding RNA (21 nucleotides) under Chlamydomonas reinhardtii. Its description in RNAcentral is "small RNA Cre_1799". The record is from RNAcentral. Lineage: Eukaryota; Viridiplantae; Chlorophyta; Chlorophyceae; Chlamydomonadales; Chlamydomonadaceae.
GCUGUGAGCUGCGUGCUGAGC